CCCUGGUAGUCCACGCCGUAAACGAUGAGUGCUAAGUGUUAGGGGGUUUCCGCCCCUUAGUGCUGCAGCUAACGCAUUAAGCACUCCGCCUGGGGAGUACGACCGCAAGGUUGAAACUCAAAGGAAUUGACGGGGGCCCGCACAAGCGGUGGAGCAUGUGGUUUAAUUCGAAGCAACGCGAAGAACCUUACCAGGUCUUGACAUCCUUUGACCACUCUGGAGACAGAGCUUUCCCUUCGGGGACAAAGUGACAGGUGGUGCAUGGUUGUCGUCAGCUCGUGUCGUGAGAUGUUGGGUUAAGUCCCGCAACGAGCGCAACCCUUAAUUUUAGUUGCCAGCAUUUAGUUGGGCACUCUAAAGUGACUGCCGGUGCAAGCCGGAGGAAGGUGGGGAUGACGUCAAAUCAUCAUGCCCCUUAUGACCUGGGCUACACACGUGCUACAAUGGAUGGUACAAAGGGUCGCGAAGCCGCGAGGUGGAGCCAAUCCCAUAAAACCAUUCUCAGUUCGGAUUGUAGGCUGCAACUCGCCUACAUGAAGCCGGAAUCGCUAGUAAUCGUGGAUCAGCAUGCCACGGUGAAUACGUUCCCGGGCCUUGUACACACCGCCCGUCACACCACGAGAGUUUGUAACACCCGAAGUCGGUAGGGUAACCUUUAUGGAGCCAGCCGCCGAAGGUGGGACAGAUAAUUGGGGUGAAGUCGUAACAAGGUAGCCGUAUCGGAAGGUGCGGCUGGAUC
RNAcentral lists this ribosomal RNA (739 nucleotides) under Listeria welshimeri. Its description in RNAcentral is "bacterial SSU rRNA". It matches the Rfam family "Bacterial small subunit ribosomal RNA", at positions 785 to 1524 of the family's 1533-position model. Lineage: Bacteria; Bacillati; Bacillota; Bacilli; Caryophanales; Listeriaceae. The record is from RNAcentral.